Molecule: long non-coding RNA, 1450 nt
Organism: Neofelis nebulosa (Clouded leopard)
Lineage: Eukaryota; Metazoa; Chordata; Mammalia; Carnivora; Felidae
Exons: 2
Source: RefSeq, a predicted model, not a curated record
UUUUAAUACACCGAUUCUUAGCAACAAAGUAGUUCUUUAAUUAGUACAAAACUCGAAUAAUGCAUUGCCUAUUAUCGUGCACUGCACAUAACAUUUGGUAACUUGUACUGGCAGAUUCGUUUACAUAUGUCACCACUGUACCUGUAAUUUAGCUUAAUGCCAGGUCAGUGUGCCAAGUGUGUGUGUCUGUUUUAAAGCUUUCCCCAACAGUCGUUUCAUGGGCCUUCGCAGUAGUAACUGAAACAGUGUCUGUAUUAGGAAAUCGUAAUCAGUCAAAAUGACUGUCUCUUGCAGGUAUCCACUAUAGUCUUCACUCGCACGAGGGCAAUGAGUGGUUCACUUUUUAGAGAGUUACUUAGUAUUAUCUUAAAAAAUGGGAAAUACCGGCUGAAGGUGUAGUCAGUACGAUCAGACUGUAAUUUUGCCGAGGGAGAUGCUUGGUGUCUUUUAAGUGAACUAAGUCAAAAUCAAAGCGUGGGACUUGAAAUAUACUUGAGACCUGGUCGGAUGGUUAAGGCACAGGACAGACCAGAUGCAGUGAUCUGACGAAUCCUUUUUGGUGUAAGUUGUUCUAAUUUCUCACAUCACCACAUGCAGUUUUCUGGUGUCGGGAAUCACUUCUUGACAGAGAAAUCAAGCUUCUCCCACGUGACCAGUUUGCCCCAAAGGAGGAUGCCUGAAAGAGAAUGCCUGCCGGUCCCUUUCUGUCCCGAUCUCUGUCACAGUGGUCUCUACAGGUGUUGCGGCUGGAAGCGUCAGAAGAAAAAGGACUCCAAAAAACAUGAGGAAACCUCAACUCGCAACUAUUUAAAAGUACCCUCCUCUCUCUUGAACCGUCAGUAGGAAGUGUGUGGUUUAUUCCCUCACUCCACACCGGAUUUAAAUGGGCAGAUAGCAGCAGGAUUUUAAAAGUUUUUCAUCAUGACUUAAGUCUCUAAGAUUUAGAGUAUUUUGUUUGUCUGACUGUCUCACCAGUACGAACCUUCGCCAUCAAUAUUAGAAUGGAGAAUUCCUUCCUUUGGAAUUCACAAGCAUAACAUACAUAAUCCUUUAUCUCUGGCAAAGCUAUUAGCUUCUUGGCCUUUGGCUGGUAGAUGUAUACAGUAUCUAUAGUUAUUGCAUGCGAGUGUUCUCAACUGACUUGCAAACCCUUUGAUCAAACCAGCUAAACUUGAUUUUCCAGAUUAUUCAAGAGACAAGGCACACAUCUAUCAGCCUUACAAGUCCUGGCAAGCAAUCAAGACCCCAUGCUCCCCCACUCCCUUCAACAGAAUCAAAGGACAUCAGGGUCUCUGCUUCCUGUUCCCUCGAAGCUCAGGUUCUUCAUCACCCUGCCAUCCACGUCUUGCUACGGUGCUACUGACUUCACUGGGACAGUUUUGAAGUAGCCGUAUGCGUCCGCCUUUGUGAUUUGUCCAGUUUGUAGUAAAGAGACAGCAAACAAAAAUCA